GGUGUGUCGCACUUAAAACGGUUUCAUAAACCCUUUGAAGAGUUGCUGGGCUUAAUCAUAAACGUUGGACAUAUUAUAUAGGUGGGGUUUCGGACGUGGACACUAAAGAAAUAGGCGAUGCAGUUUCCGGCUUUAGUCAUCUGGACUGAUUGACAGAGGGAGACAAUGUGGCUUAAAAUCAUGGAUGUCUGCAAAGCAGUUUCUGCCCCCUGAGUGAAUGUGGUGUGUCUGUGAAUGAGUCGCCUGCCAGGAGCGUGUACAACUCAUACUUACCUGGCAGGGGAGAUACCAUGAUCAAGAAGGUGGUUCACCCAGGGCGAGGCUUGGCCAUUGCACUCCGGUUGAGCUGACCUCUGCGAAUUCCCCAAAUGUGGGAAUCUCGACUGCAUAAUUUGUGGUAGUGGGGGACUGCGUUCGCGCU
This is a long non-coding RNA of Eleginops maclovinus (Patagonian blennie), 421 nucleotides long. RefSeq lists it as uncharacterized. NCBI's taxonomy places the organism in Eukaryota, Metazoa, Chordata, Actinopteri, Perciformes, Eleginopidae. The transcript has 3 exons. The record is from RefSeq and is a predicted model, not a curated record.